RNAcentral lists this ribosomal RNA (2404 nucleotides) under Salmonella enterica subsp. enterica serovar Mbandaka. Its description in RNAcentral is "partial 23S ribosomal RNA". It matches the Rfam family "Bacterial large subunit ribosomal RNA", at positions 1 to 2236 of the family's 2925-position model. The record is from RNAcentral. Lineage: Bacteria; Pseudomonadati; Pseudomonadota; Gammaproteobacteria; Enterobacterales; Enterobacteriaceae.
GGGUUGUGAGGUUAAGCGACUAAGCGUACACGGUGGAUGCCCUGGCAGUCAGAGGCGAUGAAGGGCGUGCUAAUCUGCGAUAAGCGCCGGUAAGGUGAUAUGAACCGUUAUAACCGGCGAUACCCGAAUGGGGAAACCCAGUGUGACUCGUCACACUAUCAUUAACUGAAUCCAUAGGUUAAUGAGGCGAACCGGGGGAACUGAAACAUCUAAGUACCCCGAGGAAAAGAAAUCAACCGAGAUUCCCCCAGUAGCGGCGAGCGAACGGGGAGGAGCCCAGAGCCUGAAUCAGCAUGUGUGUUAGUGGAAGCGUCUGGAAAGGCGCGCGAUACAGGGUGACAGCCCCGUACACAAAAGCGCAUGUGCUGUGAGCUCGAUGAGUAGGGCGGGACACGUGGUAUCCUGUCUGAAUAUGGGGGGACCAUCCUCCAAGGCUAAAUACUCCUGACUGACCGAUAGUGAACCAGUACCGUGAGGGAAAGGCGAAAAGAACCCCGGCGAGGGGAGUGAAAAAGAACCUGAAACCGUGUACGUACAAGCAGUGGGAGCCCCACCACUAAGCCAGUGGUGAACUCCACAUACGCAUCCUUUGCUGAGGAUACGGUUAACGGAGCGAAAGCGACGUUCAACCUCAAAAGAAGCAGAGGGGGCUUAGUGGUGGGGUGACUGCGUACCUUUUGUAUAAUGGGUCAGCGACUUAUAUUCUGUAGCAAGGUUAACCGAAUAGGGGAGCCGGAGGGAAACCGAGUCUUAACUGGGCGUUAAGUUGCAGGGUAUAGACCCGAAACCCGGUGAUCUAGCCAUGGGCAGGUUGAAGGUUGGGUAACACUAACUGGAGGACCGAACCGACUAAUGUUGAAAAAUUAGCGGAUGACCUGUGGCUGGGGGUGAAAGGCCAAUCAAACCGGGAGAUAGCUGGUUCUCCCCGAAAGCUAUUUAGGUAGCGCCUCGUGAAUUCAUCUCCGGGGGUAGAGCACUGUUUCGGCUAGGGGGCCAUCCCGGCUUACCAACCCGAUGCAAACUGCGAAUACCGGAGAAUGUUAUCACGGGAGACACACGGCGGGUGCUAACGUCCGUCGUGAAGAGGGAAACAACCCAGACCGCCAGCUAAGGUCCCAAAGUCAUGGUUAAGUGGGAAACGAUGUGGGAAGGCCCAGACAGCCAGGAUGUUGGCUUAGAAGCAGCCAUCAUUUAAAGAAAGCGUAAUAGCUCACUGGUCGAGUCGGCCUGCGCGGAAGAUGUAACGGGGCUAAACCAUGCACCGAAGCUGCGGCAGCGAACGUAUCACCCAAGACAACUUUACGGAGUUGACGAUUGACGGAGCGAAGCGACGUCAAAGCGUUCAUUAAAGUCGAGUUGGCUUAGGGAUACGUUCGUUGGGUAGGGGAGCGUUCUGUAAGCCUGUGAAGGUGGCCUGUGAGGGUUGCUGGAGGUAUCAGAAGUGCGAAUGCUGACAUAAGUAACGAUAAAGCGGGUGAAAAGCCCGCUCGCCGGAAGACCAAGGGUUCCUGUCCAACGUUAAUCGGGGCAGGGUGAGUCGACCCCUAAGGCGAGGCCGAAAGGCGUAGUCGAUGGGAAACGGGUUAAUAUUCCCGUACUUGGUGUUACUGCGAAGGGGGGACGGAGAAGGCUAUGUUGGCCGGGCGACGGUUGUCCCGGUUUAAGCGUGUAGGCUGGUUUUCCAGGCAAAUCCGGAAAAUCAAGGCUGAGGCGUGACGACGAGGCACUACGGUGCUGAAGCAACAAAUGCCCUGCUUCCAGGAAAAGCCUCUAAGCAUCAGGUAACAUCAAAUCGUACCCCAAACCGACACAGGUGGUCAGGUAGAGAAUACCAAGGCGCUUGAGAGAACUCGGGUGAAGGAACUAGGCAAAAUGGUGCCGUAACUUCGGGAGAAGGCACGCUGACACGUAGGUGAAGUGAUUUACUCAUGGAGCUGAAGUCAGUCGAAGAUACCAGCUGGCUGCAACUGUUUAUUAAAAACACAGCACUGUGCAAACACGAAAGUGGACGUAUACGGUGUGACGCCUGCCCGGUGCCGGAAGGUUAAUUGAUGGGGUCAGCGCAAGCGAAGCUCCUGAUCGAAGCCCCGGUAAACGGCGGCCGUAACUAUAACGGUCCUAAGGUAGCGAAAUUCCUUGUCGGGUAAGUUCCGACCUGCACGAAUGGCGUAAUGAUGGCCAGGCUGUCUCCACCCGAGACUCAGUGAAAUUGAACUCGCUGUGAAGAUGCAGUGUACCCGCGGCAAGACGGAAAGACCCCGUGAACCUUUACUAUAGCUUGACACUGAACAUUGAGCCUUGAUGUGUAGGAUAGGUGGGAGGCUUUGAAGUGUGGACGCCAGUCUGCAUGGAGCCGACCUUGAAAUACCACCCUUUAAUGUUUGAUGUUCUAACGUGGACCCGU